Molecule: long non-coding RNA, 362 nt
Filed under: Phoenix dactylifera (date palm)
Lineage: Eukaryota; Viridiplantae; Streptophyta; Magnoliopsida; Arecales; Arecaceae
Description: long non-coding RNA (PDAC_LNC022202)
Source: RNAcentral
GGCCCAAGCUUAAAGUUCAAAGGAUUCAAUUUGGAAGAGUAAAAUCAAAGAAAAAAUUCAAAAGAAUAGUCUUCGAGUCGACUCCUGAGGAUUUCGAGUCGACUCCAAUGUUUACCGAGUCGACUCCGGAGAAGUUUGAGUCGACUCCUAGGAGUCACAGGCAGAAAAGUCAGAGAGCAGUUUUCAGGUCUGAGAUUCGAGUCGACUCCAGUGGAACGCGAGUCGACUCCGAUGGUUGGUAGGUCGACUCCAAAGAAAGCAAGAGUCGACUCUCAGCGGAACACAAGAAAAAAGUCAGAGAGCAUUUUUGGGACUCUGAGAUUCGAGUCGACUCCCGCAUUGCACGAGUCGACUCCGAGACU